RNAcentral lists this ribosomal RNA (253 nucleotides) under uncultured bacterium. RNAcentral's name for it is "partial 16S ribosomal RNA". It matches the Rfam family "Bacterial small subunit ribosomal RNA", at positions 524 to 776 of the family's 1533-position model. The record is from RNAcentral.
UACGAGGGGUGCAAGCGUUGCUCGGAAUUAUUGGGCGUAAAGGGUUGGUAGGUGGUCUUAUUUGUCGGGGGUGAAAUCCUUGGGCUUAACUCAAGAAGUGCCCCCGAAACGGUGAGACUGGAGUCUUGGAGAGGGUCGCGGAAUACCCGGUGUAGCGGUGAAAUGCGUAGAGAUCGGGUGGAACACCAGAGGCGAAGGCGGCGACCUGGACAAGUACUGACACUCAACAACGAAAGCGUGGGGAGCAAACAGG